Molecule: long non-coding RNA, 510 nt
Organism: Cynocephalus volans (Philippine flying lemur)
Lineage: Eukaryota; Metazoa; Chordata; Mammalia; Dermoptera; Cynocephalidae
Exons: 4
Source: RefSeq, a predicted model, not a curated record
AGCUGCUGCCCCAACCUGCCCUCCUCCUCACAUUCUGGCCUUGGGAGUGGCCUGAGGACUGGGAGAAAAAUUAAUCCCCUCCAGAAGCCACUGGCUCAAGGGAGAGUGGCCUGAGCCCCAGUUCCGCCACCGUGUCCUUGCUGCCUUCCCGGGUUGGAGCCCUGUCUGUCUGGAUUUCCCAUGGCUGCUGCCUUCAUCCUGCUGGGACCUUGGGACCAUGGAGGCAGCCUUUAGCCUGAGUACGCAGGGCACAGAAUCUCACUGUCCAAGAAAGCUGACUGCACACUGUCCUGAAAGAAAAGUCACAAACAUAGCUCAGAGAGUCCCCGUACAGCCCUCGCCCGGUUUCCCUGUCUUCAACACCCUAAGUUGCUGCAGAGCAGUCGUCAGAACCGAGAAGCCCGGCGCGGUCUGUGAGCUUCCCCGCAGGCCGUGGCUGGGACCCAGGGCCCGUCGGGAACCGGCUGCCUCUUCCCCGCGUCUCCUGAGGCUCCUCGUGGCUGUGGCAGU